This 386-nucleotide ribosomal RNA is filed under the name uncultured bacterium. Its description in RNAcentral is "bacterial SSU rRNA". It matches the Rfam family "Bacterial small subunit ribosomal RNA", at positions 28 to 416 of the family's 1533-position model. The record is from RNAcentral.
GACGAACGCUGGCGGCGUGCUUAACACAUGCAAGUCGAGCGGUAAGGCCCUUUCGGGGGUACACGAGCGGCGAACGGGUGAGUAACACGUGGGCGACCUGCCCUCAGCUCUGGGAUAAGCCUGGGAAACUGGGUCUAAUACCGGAUAUGACCACAUGUCGCAUGGUGUGUGGUGGAAAGUUUUUUCGGCUGGGGAUGGGCCCGCGGCCUAUCAGCUUGUUGGUGGGGUGAUGGCCUACCAAGGCGACGACGGGUAGCCGGCCUGAGAGGGCGACCGGCCACACUGGGACUGAGAUACGGCCCAGACUCCUACGGGAGGCAGCAGUGGGGAAUAUUGCGCAAUGGGCGGAAGCCUGACGCAGCGACGCCGCGUGGGGGAUGACGGCC